UGAGACUUUGUGUUCUUCCCCAACCACUU
This 29-nucleotide non-coding RNA is filed under the name Rattus norvegicus (Norway rat). Lineage: Eukaryota; Metazoa; Chordata; Mammalia; Rodentia; Muridae. The record is from RNAcentral.